This is an RNA transcript of Gossypium raimondii (Peruvian cotton), 4364 nucleotides long. It is a transcript of the gene named phosphatidate phosphatase PAH1, with no coding region annotated. The transcript has 13 exons. Lineage: Eukaryota; Viridiplantae; Streptophyta; Magnoliopsida; Malvales; Malvaceae. The record is from RefSeq and is a predicted model, not a curated record.
CUGAAAAAGCGGGACAAUAUUUCAAAUAUCCAAAAUUACCCUUCCAUUAAUCACAAAUUUACACGUCAUAUUUCUCGCUUCGUAGCGUAUUUUUAAGCAAAACUAAGGGACCUAUUUAUGUCUUUUCACAAGGUUACUUAUUUAUUGCAUGGCGGUUGCGGUUAGUCGCCGUUGCCAACUUCUGACUCGUUUUCAAAAUUUCCAUUUUUUUUCCAAAAAAUAAAAAAAUAAAAAUUCAAAGCUACCAGAGAAUCCUAACAGCGUCGGAUCGUUGUAUCAUCAUUCAUCGGUCAUAGUAAAGAGAAUCUUACAAUUGUUUCGAUUUCGAGCCGCCAGAUUCGUUCAUCGCGGGAAUUUUCUUCUUUGCGCAAUUCUUAAUCUAAUUAAGGAAACUGCAGAAGGAUUUUUGUUAAUCUAAGAAAGGUUUAAUUUUGACAAAUGAAUGUGGUUGGCAAAGUUGGGAGUUUAAUUUCACAAGGUGUAUAUUCUGUUGCUACUCCUUUCCAUCCUUUCGGUGGAGCGGUUGAUAUAAUUGUUGUUCGGCAACCAGAUGGGACUUUUCGGAGCACGCCUUGGUAUGUUCGGUUUGGGAAGUUUCAGGGUGUCUUGAAAGGGGCUGAGAAGGUCGUUCGUAUAACUGUUAAUGGCAUUGAAGCAGAUUUUCAUAUGUAUCUUGAUAACUCUGGGCAAGCAUAUUUUUUAAAGGAGGUUGAAUCUGGUAAAGGAUUUGAGACAAAUGGAGAUUUGAAGGAUUCUGAUGGUGAAGUUGUUUCAGAUUCCUGGGUGGCUCAAUUGAGGGAUGAAUGUGAUGCCACAAAUCAAAAACAGCUUGAAAGGGCAGAAUCUGAUACUCGGUUCUAUGAUUUUCAAGAUGAUCAGUUUUCUCAAGAGGGUCUGGUUAAUUUUUCAGAAUAUGGGUCCAACCGAUAUGAGGGUUUAGAUAGUGAGUGUUUUGGGGAAGCAAAAGGUUUAGAUUCAGUUGUCUUCUUCAGUGAGGAUGGCCCUAUUCUUACUGCCCCUGUUUUGGCAUCAGACAGGAGUGCUGAAAAUGUGCAACUAAGCACACCUCUGUUCCAUAUAGGAGCAGGUGAAGGGCCUGACUCUUGUGACGGUAAUGGGGAAUUUAGUCCAGGUGGCAAUGAAUCAGAUGCUGACUAUAUAGGUAAGCUCAAUGCUGCGGCACCUAAGAAUUCCUCUGAUAUUGUUUGCAGCUUGGACAAUGAUUCUACUGCUUUGAGACACCAUCUAGAAGUUUGUGAAAAAGGGGGGGAACAUGCUUGUCAAACUGAAGAAACUCGAAACCUUUUCAAGCAUGAAAAUGAAUUUAUCAGGCAAAGUUACAGUGAAGAUGCAUCCGUGCAUAUUAAGGAUGAUGUUUUUAAGAGCUGUCUUGAACUAUCUGAAUUGGGCAGACACGAUGAGAACACCAAUUCUGAAGAAAUAGAUAGCCCACUGCAAGCUCAGAUUUCACAAGAUAAGCCUUCUUGCAGCCCCCCAGAAGUUGGUGAAACUGAAAAUGGAGCUAUUGGUGGCUCCAGAAAUAAAGAUGUGUUGUCUUCCUCUUGUAGUCCCAAUUAUUCCAAUGAAAAUGGGUCUCCUGAUUUACCAGUUGAAAAGACAAUGUUGGCUACAGAUAAUAUGGGUUCUAACAAUGCAUCUGUUGAUUUGGUUGUUAAUGACCCUGAAUUGAGAGAUGAACAGUUCAAUACUUCAGCAGCAACUGAAGGGACGAAUAGCAGUCUGCAAAGUCCUCCACCUGAGGACAAGAGUAGCAUAAGUGAGACUGUGGAAACUGAAACAAGUUGUGCUAAAGAGAUAGAUGUUCGUGCUAGCCUGGGAUUUGAGAUCUCACUCUGUGGCAAUGAACUUUAUGUGGGUAUGGGUUCAGAUGCUGCAGCAGAAGUCUUUGAAUCACAUCGGAUAUCAAUGGAGGAAUACAAAAAUAAUGCAAUGUCAAUUAUUAAGAAUACAAACCUAAUCAUCCGAUUUGGAGAGAUGUAUUUCACAUGGGAAAAAGCUGCUCCUGUUGUUCUCGGAAUGGCUGCAUUUGGUUUAGAGUUAGCUAUUGAGCCCCAGGAUGCAAUCCCUGUUGAAAAGGAUGAGUCAUCAAAGCCUAAGGGUGGUGCUUCUGGUGUCACUUCUGCACCUUCUGGCCGCAGAUGGAGGCUUUGGUCUAUUCCCUUAAAAAGGGUCAAAACACUUGAGAAGACCGGUAGCAAUUUAUCUAGUGAAGAGGUAUUUCUUGAUACUGAAUCUUCUCUACAAAAUUCACCAGAAGAUUUAAUUCCAACAUCCAGUGGAAGGAUUGAAUCUCCUGGCAAACAAUUUGUGAGGACAAAUAUUCCCACCAACGAGCAGAUUGCUUCCUUGAAUCUGAAAAAUGGUCAAAAUAUGAUUACUUUCAGUUUCUCCUCCAGGGUUCUGGGAAUACAACAGGUUGAAGCUCAUCUUUACUUGUGGAAAUGGAUCGCAAAGAUUGUAAUUUCAGAUGUGGAUGGAACUAUUACCAAGUCUGAUGUCUUAGGCCAGUUUAUGCCUUUAGUUGGAAGGGAUUGGACACAAUCUGGUGUAGCUAAUCUUUUCUCAGCUAUUAAGGGGAACGGGUAUCAGCUUCUAUUUCUCAGUGCACGUGCAAUUGUUCAGGCAUAUCUAACCAGAAGUUUCUUACUUAACCUGAAACAGGAUGGAAAAGCUUUACCCUCUGGACCUGUUGUUAUUUCUCCUGACGGUUUGUUUCCCUCAUUGUACCGUGAGGUGAUAAGAAGAACACCUCAUGAAUUCAAAAUAGCUUGUUUAAAGAAUAUCAGGAAGCUUUUCCCUUCGGACUACAAUCCAUUUUAUGCAGGCUUUGGAAACAGAGACACAGAUGAACUCAGUUAUAAAGAAAUUGGCAUCCCAAAGGGAAAAAGAUUUAUUAUUAAUCCAAAGGGUGAGGUGGCUGUAAGUUAUUGUAUGAACACGAGGUCAUACACAUCAUUGCAUACUCUUGUAGAAGAGAUGUUUCCACCAACCUCAUCCAUUGAACCGGAAGAUUAUAACGAAUGGAAUUUUUGGAAAGUGCCAUUGCAAGAUAUGGAGUAACAUAGUUGAUUGCCUAAAGAAUACGGUUUAGUUAUACCAAGGAGAUGAUCAGUAGCUUAAUUUGUCCCAUAGAUAUCAGGUUGGAGUUGUAAUUGCAACUUUGAGUCAUUGUAACAGUGGCUCGGUUGGAAAGCCUGAGAAGGGCAUGAUGCAGCCAUGCCCCCAUGCAGACGCAGGCUGGCAUGAGAGUUAAAAAGGGAAAAAGCUAAUUGCCCUUCAGAAAGUGAGAACUGUGGUGUACAUGAACAAAGCUUAGGGUGCUCAGACCAGCAUCACGUGAUCACCUCUGCUUCAUUUCUUGCAGUAAAUUCGACUUUACCCGUAUUUCAGAGCAGUGACUUGGGUUUUGGAUAUGGGAUCCUUCUUUCGCAUCUUUAUCAAUAUUGUUUCAUUUCUCAUCAUUUUACCCCUUGGUUAAGAUUUACAUCUCAAAACUCUUAUUCACUACUAGAUAUUAUUACCAAUCAGCAAAAGAUUGACCCCAAUCACAAGGUGACAAUAUAAUAAAAUAUCAGUCUAUGUUAAAUCCAAGCUGUUACUUAAGACAGCUAAUUAUUAUAUUUUCUUUGUUCAUUUCUCCUAUAAUUUGUUGCUCUUAGGUUAGGUCUUAGCUGAUGUGAUACAAAAACACUAGGAAUCUAGGUGCAAUGUUCUUAUUGAAUAUUGCGGCUGGUCUUGGAUCAGUGUUGUAGAAUUUGGACAAAGCUCAAAAGUAAACAGUUACUACAAGAGGAGACAAGCUAAAAAAAAGAAACCCUCGAGCCUUGGGAUAAACCGCAUCCCAACACCAAAAUAUUGGAGCUUAUACUCGUUUUCCUUUUUUUGGGGGGAUGACUCUAGUUUAUGUUUGUUUUUAGUGAGGUCAACAGCUGCAUUCAACGUAUGCAUAGCCCCCAUAGGCAUAGCAAUAACUUAUUGCAGACAUUGGCAUCUACCUUGUGAACCACCGUUCAUUUUUAUCCAAAAAGCUGAGAAGUUUAUGGAUCUACACAAAGCAACAAGUCUGGCAUAUAUAUAACUAGUAUUUAGUUUUAUAAUCAAGAAAUUCUGCAUUUUCCAAUGUACAGGAAAAAACCAUAUAAUUUAAGAGUACAGGUUUGCAUGUAAUGAAGUAUGAACUAAGAAGAUUAUGGUCUGGUAAGGGAAUUUGUAUAUAUAUGUAUAUGUAGUCAAACUAAGAGAGACUGGCAGCAGAUGGCUGAAUACUUGUGAAUUCCCAAGUGGAUACACUAUAUCAUGCAUAUUGUAAUUUCAAAUAAGAUUCCAUGUCAGUAAUUUUUUUA